UGAAAAGAACCGCUGCGACAGCUGCAGAGGCAGAUCCAGAAGUCCUUUAAUUUAAAGUCUGUGGGCAUAGACACCCGAUCAAAUUUGCCAGCAAGGGCUUGAGAAAGAACAAGACGUACAGAGACAGGUGAUACAGACCCAUAUAUUGAAACCAUUUAACAUCCCAAGCAGCUUGAAAUCUGGUCAGCGCUGAUGAACAAUGGGGAAGAAGAAUAAUGACUAUCCCCACUUCAAAGAGUUUGUAGAUGUGCUCCUACCGGCCACUGGAUGUCACUAUUGGUCUUUGCUAAGUAAUUCUGUAAAAGUUUCAGAAGAUCUUAAUAUGGUAGAAGAACAAAGAUUAUUCCUGGUUUCCUGACUACAGUUGCAGCAGUUAACAACAAAUCACAGCACUAAUUAUUGACAAAAGAAACAUGUUUACAUCCUUUUUGAAAUCCAAAGAUGUUGACUUCUCAACCUCCUCUGACAGGACAUUUUGGAACUUAAGGAAGAAUACCCUACAUUUUUUUCUGCCUGAAGCAAAGGAAAAGACGAUUCUCUCUCUCUCUCUCUCUCUCUCCUUGUACAGAAUCUGAACAAAAUGGCUGUUUAAUCUUUCUUUGAUAACUCAGGUAGAAUGGUGGCGGGACUGCUGCUGUUUUGUAUCAGCUGCCGCCUGAGGCAGACGCCCCACUCUGCCUAAUGUUAGGGCUAUUCCUACUAAGGAAGCUGUGCAGUGAAGCCCUGGUAAUAGCAGCCACAAUCUAAACUGACACACGGAAGAAACAACAAACAGUACCUGUUGAUCUGACCUCAGUAGAUUGUCAAUGACGGCUACAUGGCCACUUUAAUCCAUAGAAACAGUUGCCCUCAGUGCUCUGACAAUAGUUUUUCCAGUUUUGUUACCCAUCACUGCACUUUUUGACAAUUCUAAUAGAUCUUUUCUGGAAAGGGAUGCUCAGAACUAUUAACUCAAUAUUAAUAUUUCAUAUACAAAAAUGAAAUAAAGCUGAAACAUUUUGUUUUCUUUGCCAUGUUAAACAGGUUUCUAAGCCAUGCUUUUAAUAUUUUUUAAAUAUAUAUAUUUUUACUAGAAUUUUCAAUACAGAAAGAAAUGACAUAUACAGCAACAUGCCAUCAAAAUUAAAUAAGUACAUCAAGACAAGAUAAAGCAUAUAUAUAAGGUAUAACAAGAAAAUGUAUAAAUAAAGGAAAAUGGAGCUUAAAUAUACUUGUAAAAAUGAAACCAAGAAAAUCAUUUCAUUUAAGAAAAUGGAAGAAGGGGGGUUUUUCAGUAAAAAUGUUUCAGUAUGCUAUGGUGAAUAAACAAAAAAUAGCUGAAUUAAGGGCAUGUUAUGUAAUCAGACAAGAAAAGGACUAUGGUAGAAGCAUGUGCUAAGGGAGGGCUCCCAUCAUUCUUUUUACUUGAUGUAUACUUGGAGGUCACAACCAUUCUGCACAGAAUGUAUCUUUGUUGGAUUUUAACUUUGUCAAUUUUUCCGUCCAUGCCAAACUUGGGCAUAGCUCAGUCAAGUUUCCAUUAGUCUGCUUCCAAUUAUGAGCCACCACAAUGCAUGUUGCUGCAAAGAAAGAGCUUAACAGGUCUUUUUUUAAUAA
Molecule: non-coding RNA, 1596 nt
Organism: Podarcis muralis (Common wall lizard)
Lineage: Eukaryota; Metazoa; Chordata; Lepidosauria; Squamata; Lacertidae
Source: RefSeq, a predicted model, not a curated record